CUCUGCGUAAGUCUUUUGCAUUAUGACUUUGUACAACACCAUAAUCCAUGAAAGCUGAUCCCAAGACCUUAGCAUCUGAUGUUGUACAUCUACACCACAAGAUAAUCCCAUUGUAAACAGUGCCUCACUCUUGCAGAGGAAACAGGAUUAACAUUUCAUGUUUUCAAGUGAUGCCUAAGGAAUACAGAACAAGGCCAUGGUUGUUUUUGUCAACUGCCAUCAAGUUAUCUUCAGCUUCUGUUGAUGCUGUGAUUGAGAGCCCUUCAAGUUAUCCUGUUCUCAACAACCCUGCUCAGGUCUUACAGCUUCCUUGAUUGGAUCUAUCCAUCUUUUACUACUGCCUUCUAACAUACCAAACACUUUUCUUGUGUGUCAUGUCUUCCCAUGAUAUCUGAAAAUUCAGCAUGUACACAAACACAUACACUCAUAAAAAUACACAAAUAUCCAACCACAGACUUACAUACAUAAUUCAGGAAUUACAAGUAUGCAAUUCCCACCCACAAACUUAAAGAACCAGUAGCUAUUUUAACUCCAACCACCACAGCAUCUUUGAUUUGUCUGCCAUUGAAACUGAGAUACCAUUUCUUUCAAGCACUUAGGAUGUAAUGAAGAAUUUCUGGAUGCACAGUCUUAAGACCUUGAUAUAUUGUAGCCUCAACCUGCAUAACACCAUUAUUCACUUAAGAAUGGUGGCAUUAAAACCUUAUAAAAAGUAA
Molecule: long non-coding RNA, 716 nt
Organism: Anolis sagrei ordinatus
Lineage: Eukaryota; Metazoa; Chordata; Lepidosauria; Squamata; Anolidae
Source: RefSeq, a predicted model, not a curated record